Long non-coding RNA from Trematomus bernacchii (emerald rockcod), 397 nucleotides. RefSeq lists it as uncharacterized. Lineage: Eukaryota; Metazoa; Chordata; Actinopteri; Perciformes; Nototheniidae. The record is from RefSeq and is a predicted model, not a curated record. The transcript has 2 exons.
GCUUUGCAUAUGACGUCACGGGUAACGUGACAUCAGCCCAACGGCCAUACUGGAGUACCAAAACAGACACCGUAAUACGUCAGCGCUGUUUUUUUACCGGACAUAUAAUGGUUAACUUCUGUGCCAUUGUUGGCUGCGGCAACAGAGGUGAUCGAAACAGGGGGCCGAAGUCAUUUUACAGGCUGCCGGCGGUUAUAACACACCAGGGUGAAGCAACACAUGAACUUUCAAAGCGUCGCCGGGAAAAAUGGCUCAAUAGGAUCGGACGGGAGGAUCUCAAACCAUCCAACCACAACUAUACUCGCGUUUGUGGGGAUCAUUUCACGUCAGGUAAACCAGUGGCACUUUUUGACAAAAAUCAUCCUGACUGGGCACCGUCUGUCAAAUUGGGCCACGA